Molecule: ribosomal RNA, 217 nt
Filed under: Glomeromycotina sp.
Lineage: Eukaryota; Fungi; Glomeromycota
Description: partial small subunit ribosomal RNA
Rfam family: Eukaryotic small subunit ribosomal RNA (bases 41-217)
Source: RNAcentral
GGGGUCAGUAGGUUGGUCGUGCCACCGGUACGUACUGGUCUCACUGAUUCCUCCUUCCUGAAGAACCGUAAUGCCAUUAAUUUGGUGUUGCGGGGAAACAGGACUGUUACUUUGAAAAAAUUAGAGUGUUUAAAGCAAGCUAACGCUUGAAUACAUUAGCAUGGAAUAAUGAAAUAGGACGAUCGAUCCUAUUUUGUUGGUUCCUAGGAUUGACGUA